UGGGGAAUCUUGCACAAUGGGGGAAACCCUGAUGCAGCGACGCCGCGUGAGUGAUGAAGUCCUUCGGGAUGUAAAGCUCUUUCGACAGGGACGAUUAUGACGGUACCUGGAGAAGAAGCUGCGGCUAACUACGUGCCAGCAGCCGCGGUAAUACGUAGGCAGCGAACGUUGUUCGGAGUUACUGGGCGUAAAGAGUGCGUAGGCGGUUCGCUAAGUCUGGUGUGAAAUCUCCCGGCUUAACUGGGAGGGUGCGCUAGAUACUGGCGGGCUUGAGUAUGGGAGAGGAAAGCGGAAUUCCUGGUGUAGCGGUGAAAUGCGUAGAUAUCAGGAGGAACACCGGGUGGUG
Molecule: ribosomal RNA, 346 nt
Filed under: uncultured bacterium
Lineage: Bacteria
Description: bacterial SSU rRNA
Rfam family: Bacterial small subunit ribosomal RNA
Source: RNAcentral